Podarcis lilfordi (Lilford's wall lizard) is the source of this 72-nucleotide non-coding RNA. Lineage: Eukaryota; Metazoa; Chordata; Lepidosauria; Squamata; Lacertidae. The record is from the annotation of a GenBank genome assembly.
GGAGAUAUAGCUCAGUGAUAGAGCACCUGUUUUGCUUACAGAAGGCAUUGUGUUCAAUCCCUGGCAUUUCCA